Molecule: ribosomal RNA, 325 nt
Filed under: uncultured eukaryote
Lineage: Eukaryota
Description: partial 18S ribosomal RNA
Rfam family: Eukaryotic small subunit ribosomal RNA
Source: RNAcentral
CCCUUAGAUGUUCUGGGCCGCCCGCGCGCUACACUGAUGCAUUCAACGAGCCUAUCCUUGACCGACAGGUCCGGGUAAUCUUUGAAUCUGCAUCGUGACGGGGAUAGAUUAUUGCAAUUAUUAAUCUUCAACGAGGAAUGCCUAGUAGGCGCAAGUCAUCAGCUUGCGUCGAUUACGUCCCUGCCCUUUGUACACACCGCCCGUCGCUCCUACCGAUUGGGUGUGCUGGUGAAAUGUUCGGAUCGGCCGUUUGUCGCGGUUUCCGCGUCAUGUGGCUGAGAAGUUCAUUAAACCCUCCCACCUAGAGGAAGGAGAAGUCGUAACA